GACGAACGCUGGCGGCGUGCUUAACACAUGCAAGUCGAACGGAAAGGCCCUGCUUUUGUGGGGUGCUCGAGUGGCGAACGGGUGAGUAACACGUGAGUAACCUGCCCUUGACUUUGGGAUAACUUCAGGAAACUGGGGCUAAUACCGGAUAGGAGCUCCUGCUGCAUGGUGGGGGUUGGAAAGUUUCGGCGGUUGGGGAUGGACUCGCGGCUUAUCAGCUUGUUGGUGGGGUAGUGGCUUACCAAGGCUUUGACGGGUAGCCGGCCUGAGAGGGUGACCGGCCACAUUGGGACUGAGAUACGGCCCAGACUCCUACGGGAGGCAGCAGUGGGGAAUAUUGCACAAUGGGCGGAAGCCUGAUGAAGCAACGCCGCGUGCGGGAUGACGGCCUUCGGGUUGUAAACCGCUUUCGCCUGUGACGAAGCGUGAGUGACGGUAAUGGGUAAAGAAGCACCGGCUAACUAUGUG
This 468-nucleotide ribosomal RNA is filed under the name uncultured bacterium. RNAcentral describes it as "partial 16S ribosomal RNA". It matches the Rfam family "Bacterial small subunit ribosomal RNA", at positions 28 to 507 of the family's 1533-position model. The record is from RNAcentral.